Molecule: ribosomal RNA, 253 nt
Filed under: uncultured bacterium
Lineage: Bacteria
Description: partial 16S ribosomal RNA
Rfam family: Bacterial small subunit ribosomal RNA
Source: RNAcentral
UACGGAGGGGGCUAGCGUUGUUCGGAAUUACUGGGCGUAAAGCGCGCGUAGGCGGCUUUGUAAGUUAGAGGUGAAAGCCCGGAGCUCAACUCCGGAACUGCUUUUAAGACUGCAUCGCUAGAAUCAUGGAGAGGUGAGUGGAAUUCCGAGUGUAGAGGUGAAAUUCGUAGAUAUUCGGAAGAACACCAGUGGCGAAGGCGACUCACUGGACAUGUAUUGACGCUGAGGUGCGAAAGCGUGGGGAGCAAACAGG